GAUGAACGCUGGCGGCGUGCCUAAUACAUGCAAGUCGAGCGAACAGACGAGGAGCUUGCUCCUCUGACGUUAGCGGCGGACGGGUGAGUAACACGUGGAUAACCUACCUAUAAGACUGGGAUAACUUCGGGAAGCCGGAGCUAAUACCGGAUAAUAUAUUGAACCGCAUGGUUCAAUAGUGAAAGACGGUUUUGCUGUCACUUAUAGAUGGAUCCGCGCCGCAUUAGCUAGUUGGUAAGGUAACGGCUUACCAAGGCAACGAUGCGUAGCCGACCUGAGAGGUGAUCGGCCACACUGGAACUGAGACACGGUCCAGACUCCUACGGGAGGCAGCAGUAGGGAAUCUUCCGCAAUGGGCGAAAGCCUGACGGAGCAACGCCGCGUGAGUGAUGAAGGUCUUCGGAUCGUAAAACUCUGUUAUUAGGGAAGAACAAAUGUGUAAGUAACUAUGCACGUCUUGACGGUACCUAAUCAGAAAGCCACGGCUAACUACGUG
Molecule: ribosomal RNA, 496 nt
Filed under: uncultured bacterium
Lineage: Bacteria
Description: partial 16S ribosomal RNA
Rfam family: Bacterial small subunit ribosomal RNA
Source: RNAcentral